GAGAGUUUGAUCCUGGCUCAGGAUGAACGCUAGCUACAGGCUUAACACAUGCAAGUCGAGGGGCAGCAUGGUCUUAGCUUGCUAAGGCCGAUGGCGACCGGCGCACGGGUGAGUAACGCGUAUCCAACCUGCCUUACACUCUUGGACAGCCUUCUGAAAGGGAGAUUAAUACAAGAUGUUAUCAUGAGUAAGCAUUUUCACAUGAUUAAAGGUUUACCGGUGUAAGAUGGGGAUGCGUUCCAUUAGAUAGUAGGCGGGGUAACGGCCCACCUAGUCUUCGAUGGAUAGGGGUUCUGAGAGGAAGGUCCCCCACAUUGGAACUGAGACACGGUCCAAACUCCUACGGGAGGCAGCAGUGAGGAAUAUUGGUCAAUGGACGAGAGUCUGAACCAGCCAAGUAGCGUGAAGGAUGAAGGUUCUAUGGAUUGUAAACUUCUUUUAUACGGGAAUAAACGAAUCCACGUGUGGAUUUUUGCAUGUACCGUAUGAAUAAGGAUCGGCUAACUCCGUGCCAGCAGCCGCGGUAAUACGGAGGAUCCGAGCGUUAUCCGGAUUUAUUGGGUUUAAAGGGAGCGUAGAUGGGUUGUUAAGUCAGUUGUGAAAGUUUGCGGCUCAACCGUAAAAUUGCAAUUGAUACUGGCAGUCUUGAGUACAGUUGAGGUAGGCGGAAUUCGUGGUGUAGCGGUGAAAUGCUUAGAUAUCACGAAGAACUCCGAUUGCGAAGGCAGCUUACUAACCUGUAACUGACAUUGAUGCUCGAAAGUGUGGGUAUCAAACAGGAUUAGAUACCCUGGUAGUCCACACGGUAAGCGAUGAAUACUCGCUGUAGGCGAUAUAUAGUCUGCGGCCAAGCGAAAGCAUUAAGUAUUCCACCUGGGGAGUACGCCGGCAACGGUGAAACUCAAAGGAAUUGACGGGGGCCCGCACAAGCGGAGGAACAUGUGGUUUAAUUCGAUGAUACGCGAGGAACCUUACCUGGGCUUAAAUUGCAACCGAAUAUGGCGGAAACGCUAUAGCUAGCAAUAGCGGUUGUGAAGGUGCUGCAUGGUUGUCGUCAGCUCGUGCCGUGAGGUGUCGGCUUAAGUGCCAUAACGAGCGCAACCCUUGCCGAUAGUUACUAACAGGUUAUGCUGAGGACUCUGUCGGGACUGCCAUCGUAAGAUGUGAGGAAGGUGGGGAUGACGUCAAAUCAGCACGGCCCUUACGUCCGGGGCUACACACGUGUUACAAUGGGGGGUACAGAGGGCUGCUACCACGCAAGUGGAUGCCAAUCCCAAAAACCUCUCUCAGUUCGGAUUGAAGUCUGCAACCCGACUUCAUGAAGCUGGAUUCGCUAGUAAUCGCGCAUCAGCCACGGCGCGGUGAAUACGUUCCCGGGCCUUGUACACACCGCCCGUCAAGCCAUGGGAGCCGGGGGUACCUGAAGUGCGUAACCGCAAGGAGCGCCCUAGGGUAAAACUGGUGACUGGGGCUAAGUCGUAACAAGGUAGCCG
This 1493-nucleotide ribosomal RNA is filed under the name uncultured bacterium. Its description in RNAcentral is "bacterial SSU rRNA". It matches the Rfam family "Bacterial small subunit ribosomal RNA". The record is from RNAcentral.